CGUUGGGGUUGUGUAGGCAAGCAUCUUCUCUUGGCAAGGUCCUCGUAGGUGGCCGCAAACAGUUUACGGCUGUGGGAUGAGAACUUGUCUUGUGAAUGUGACGUUGGGAGGAGGGAAGCACAGGGGAAGAGGAGGACGGAGGGAGGAAGAGAGUUAAGAGUCACAAGAGGAGGAGGAAGGUGGAAAAGAAAGAGGAAGGAGAGGAGGAGGAGGAGGAGGAGGAAGAUGGAGAAGGAAAGGAGAAAGAUAAAGAAGGAAGGAAAUGCCGCAGAAGGAGAAGAGCAAUAAGAAAUUAGAAUUGACAGAGAAACCAGACAAGGGACUGCAUUUGAAGAAGCACAAGAACCAAGAAAUUACAUCAUUCAAUGAAAUGACAACAUAAUCUAAAAUAGAAAUCAAAAACGUCACAAGACAGAAUAGUGAGCUGCAUGCACUUAUCACAGAGUAUAAAGUCACUCCCUCAGAGGAAAAAGACAAGGAUGGCAUGUCUUCAUGUGAGAACUCAGAAGCCAAAUGUGAGCUACCAUCCACAUGAAUAUAUAUUUGUAUAUCAAACUGACAUUCUCCUUGGAGGGAGGCUUUCCAAAGUGCACACACACACACACACACACACACACACACACACACACACACACACACACACACACACACACACACACACACACACAUCUCUGCAU
Long non-coding RNA from Scylla paramamosain (green mud crab), 677 nucleotides. RefSeq lists it as uncharacterized. The record is from RefSeq and is a predicted model, not a curated record. The transcript has 4 exons. Lineage: Eukaryota; Metazoa; Arthropoda; Malacostraca; Decapoda; Portunidae.